CAGUUCCAACAUGGCUUCCGCCCGCCGCUCCGCUCCGCCCGCCCGCACGCCCUCCCUCCGGUUCCCGGCCCCGCUCGCCACUGCGCAGCCGCCAUCCCGGAGGCCGCGCGCUCCCGGCGGGCCCUGCGCGCCCCCGGCUCGCGCGCCCGGUCGGGACACGCCGGACGCGCCAGACUCCGGGUAACAAAGUUGGACUCGCUGCUUGUGGUCCCAGCCCCAGCCCCAGCAGGUAGUAGUUGCCACGCACAAGACGGUAUUCCCCAACUUUCUAAGAGCAAGUACAUCCGAGAGCCCCGACCCUUUCUUCUAGGUUUAGGGGAGGAGGUCCCCAUCAGAAAGGUGAGAAAGACCCUCGGGGGACAGUGACACUUGGGCUCUUGGGGUUGGCUUGA
Molecule: long non-coding RNA, 392 nt
Filed under: Mus musculus (house mouse)
Lineage: Eukaryota; Metazoa; Chordata; Mammalia; Rodentia; Muridae
Description: long non-coding RNA chr17:80728130-80728522
Source: RNAcentral